AUUAAGAUGCUCAGAGACCUGAAAAACAAAGCUUUCCUAUGCCUCUAGAAGAGGGUACAAAGGAUGCCUAGCGUUGCCAGAAAGAUCCUGCACAGUGUGGAUGUGGGUCUGCCAAGCUGGGGCAGAGGAGACAUAAGACACAAAUCUGGGCUGAAGAAGCACAGUGAAAAACAUCACCAGCUCAGAUGUACCACGUGAGAUAACAUUUUGCUGCUUGGAUCUGGACAAGUCACUAUCUGUGCCUUGCCUCAGUUACCAGCCUCUAGUCAACAGCUGACACAUCACAAGUGUACUGAGAGUUUGCAGUAGACCAUGCCCUGGGAUGCUGCAGUG
This is a long non-coding RNA of Pipra filicauda (Wire-tailed manakin), 333 nucleotides long. RefSeq lists it as uncharacterized. The transcript is spliced from 3 exons. The record is from RefSeq and is a predicted model, not a curated record. Lineage: Eukaryota; Metazoa; Chordata; Aves; Passeriformes; Pipridae.